GACGAACGCUGGCGGCGUGCUUAACACAUGCAAGUCGAACGGAAAGGCCCUGCUUUUGUGGGGUGCUCGAGUGGCGAACGGGAGAGUAGCACGUGAGUAACCUGCCCUUGACUUUGGGAUAACUUCAGGAAACUGGGGAUAAUACCGGAUAGGAGCUCCUGCUGCAUGGUGGGGGUUGGAAAGUUUCGGCGGUUGGGGAUGGACUUGCGGGUUAUCAGCUUGUUGGGGGGGUAGUGGCUUACCAAGGCUUUGACGGGUAGCCGGCCUGAGAGGGUGACCGGCCACAUUGGGACUGAGAUACGGCCCAGACUCCUACGGGAGGCAGCAGUGGGGAAUAUUGCACAAUGGGCGGAAGCCUGAUGCAGCAACGCCGCGUGCGGGAUGACGGCCUUCGGGUUGUAAACCGCUUUCGCCUGUGACGAAGCGUGAGUGACGGUAAUGGGUAAAGAAGCACCGGCUAACUACGUG
This 468-nucleotide ribosomal RNA is filed under the name uncultured bacterium. RNAcentral's name for it is "partial 16S ribosomal RNA". It matches the Rfam family "Bacterial small subunit ribosomal RNA", at positions 28 to 507 of the family's 1533-position model. The record is from RNAcentral.